This 780-nucleotide ribosomal RNA is filed under the name uncultured bacterium. RNAcentral describes it as "bacterial SSU rRNA". It matches the Rfam family "Bacterial small subunit ribosomal RNA", at positions 8 to 798 of the family's 1533-position model. The record is from RNAcentral.
AGAGUUUGAUCCUGGCUCAGGACGAACGCUGGCGGUGUGCUUCACACAUGCAAGUCGAGCGGAUGAAGUAGGUAGCUUGCUACUUAUGGAUUUAGCGGCGGACGGGUGAGUAAUAUAUAGGAAUCUGCCCUAGAGCGGGGAACAACAGACCGAAAGGUUUGCUAAUGCCCCAUAGGUAUGCAGUCUUCGGAUUGUUUAUUAAAGGAGUAAUUCACUCUAGGAUGAGCCUGUAUCCGAUUAGCUUGUUGGCGGGGUAAUGGCCCACCAAGGCUACGAUCGGUAGUUGGUCUGAGAGGAUGAUCAGCCACAAUGGGACUGAGACACGGCCCAUACUCCUACGGGAGGCAGCAGUGGGGAAUUUUACACAAUGGGGGAAACCCUGAUGUAGCGACACCGCGUGAACGAAGAAGCCUUUUGGGGUGUAAAGUUCUGUCGGCUGGAACGAAAAGAAUGACGGUACCAGCAAAGGAAGCAUCGGCUAACUACGUGCCAGCAGCCGCGGUAAGACGUAGGAUGCAAGCGUUGUCCGGAUUUAUUGGGCGUAAAGAGUUCGUAGGCGGUUAUUUAAGUCUGGUGUUAAAUACUGUGGCCCAACCACAGAGCUGCAUUGGAUACUGGAUGACUUGAGUGCGGUAGAGGCGAGUGGAAUCCCCAGUGUAGCGGUGAAAUGCGUAGAUAUUGGGAAGAACACCAGUGGCGUAAGCGACUCGCUGGCCCGUAACUGACGCUGAGGAACGAAAGCCAGGGGAGCGAAUGGGAUUAGAUACCCUGGUAGUCCAA